Molecule: ribosomal RNA, 253 nt
Filed under: uncultured bacterium
Lineage: Bacteria
Description: partial 16S ribosomal RNA
Rfam family: Bacterial small subunit ribosomal RNA
Source: RNAcentral
UACGUAGGGUGCAAGCGUUGUCCGGAAUUAUUGGGCGUAAAGAGCUCGUAGGCGGCCUGUCGCGUCGGCUGUGAAAACCCAGGGCUCAACCCUGGGCCUGCAGUCGAUACGGGCAGGCUAGAGUCCGGCAGGGGAGACUGGAAUUCCUGGUGUAGCGGUGAAAUGCGUAGAUAUUGGGAGGAACACCAGUGGCGAAGGCGGCUACCUGGACCGGUUCUGACGCUGAGGCGCGAAAGCGUGGGUAGCAAACAGG